AGUGAGGAAUCUUCAGUCCACUGUCCAAUUGGGCCUUGAUUUUCUUUCUCCAGAAAGCUUAGGUGAGGCUGUUAGAAUGGCUGAAGAAAUCCGUGGCCUUCCUAAUACUCAUGAUGCGAAGCUGCAAAUGUUGGAGGUGGGAAAGAUAUCACUUUAUGCAGCAAGCUCAGCCAUCAAAGAAGUUCAGAAGUUGGUUCUGGAUCCUAAAGUUGGUCCUGAGCUUGGAUUUGAGGAUCCCAAUUUGACCGCAUUGGUGUCAGAGAAUUUGGAGAAAAUGAUGAAGAGACGUCAGGUACCUUGAACAUAAACCAGUGCAGAGAGGUUUGUAUCCGAGUAUGUCUGAAUUCAUAUGUACAG
This 357-nucleotide unclassified non-coding RNA is filed under the name Hevea brasiliensis (rubber tree). The record is from RNAcentral. Lineage: Eukaryota; Viridiplantae; Streptophyta; Magnoliopsida; Malpighiales; Euphorbiaceae.